UACGGAGGGUGCAAGCGUUAUCCGGAUUCACUGGGGUUAAAGGGUGCGUAGGUGGGCAGGUAAGUCAGUGGUGAAAUCUCUGGGCUUAACCCGGAAACUGCCGUUGAUACUAUCUGUCUUGAAUAUAGUGGAGGUGAGCGGAAUAUGUCAUGUAGCGGUGAAAUGCUUAGAUAUGACAUAGAACAUCGAUUGCGAAGGCAGCUCGCUACACUAUGAUUGACACUGAGGCACGAAAGCGUGGGGAUCAAACAGG
Molecule: ribosomal RNA, 253 nt
Filed under: uncultured bacterium
Lineage: Bacteria
Description: partial 16S ribosomal RNA
Rfam family: Bacterial small subunit ribosomal RNA
Source: RNAcentral